This 404-nucleotide ribosomal RNA is filed under the name Actinomycetes bacterium. RNAcentral describes it as "Actinobacteria bacterium partial 16S ribosomal RNA". It matches the Rfam family "Bacterial small subunit ribosomal RNA", at positions 355 to 776 of the family's 1533-position model. The record is from RNAcentral. Lineage: Bacteria; Bacillati; Actinomycetota; Actinomycetes.
UUAGGAAUUUUGGGCAAUGGGCGGAAGCCUGACCCAGCAACGCCGCGUGGGUGAUGAAGGCCCUCGGGUCGUAAAGCCCUUUUCCCAGGGAAGAUAGUGACGGUACCUGGGGAAUCAGCCCCGGCUAACUACGUGCCAGCAGCCGCGGUAAUACGUAGGGGGCAAGCGUUGUCCGGAUUUAUUGGGCGUAAAGCGCUCGCAGGUGGUCCGCUGCGUCGUGCGUGAAAGACCCCGGCUCAACUGGGGGAUGUCGUGCGAUACGGGCGGACUGGAGGCCAGUAGGGGGAUGCGGAAUUCCGGGUGUAGUGGUGGAAUGCGUAGAGAUCCGGAGGAACACCGGCGGCGAAGGCGGCAUCCUGGACUGGUCCUGACACUCAGGAGCGAAAGCGUGGGGAGCGAUCCGG